UUAGAUGACCUACAAGGUCCCUUCCAACCUGUUGUUCUAUUCUAUUCUGAUUUAAGGCAGAAUAUGCUUCCUUUUUCACCAUUGGGGAAAAGGCAAUCAAAGCUGGAUGGCUGUAGCCCUUAAAAAACUCCUCUUGAAAUGUGGGAACCAGACAUUCAUUUCGAUAACAACAAUUCCUAAGUAUACAUAGGAUUUAACCUAGUCUCUAUAACCAUGUUCAGGCUCCAGUAACACUUAGUCCUUCUAGUCCUGAAGACAACCAACUUGGCCUUGGACUUACUAACAUUAAUAUAUUUAGAAACACAAUAUGAACUGAACUUAUGCAGUAAUCUUAUUAUCCCUACCUAAGAGUGCAACAUUAAUAUUAUAUACUUUCCUAAAAUGGGAUAAUUACAGAUUUAUUUUUAACUUUGGACAUCUAGAUCUGCCAGAUAUAUAGUCUGAACUAUACAUUUUGCAACUGGCUUUCUUCAAAUUAACAGCUUUUCUAGUAUCUGUAAUAAAACUUAAAAAUUUUAUGAACAGCAAGACUCUGAGUCUUUUAGUUCAAGUAUAUUCUGGUUGAAGGCUGACAUUUGAGACACCUCUGGGAAAAGUUAAGUAUAGAUGUUUGUUUUACCCCAUCUGUGCCAGAACAAACAUCCAGCUUUGAUUGCUUCUUUUCCUAUAGUGAAACUCCAAAAGGAAGCAUAUUCUGCUCUAAAUCAUCCUCCAGGCUGCUAAUUACUACAGGGAGCCACUGAAGAAAAUGAACAAGAGAAUGUUUCUGGAGCUAUGCCUAUAAUUUAUAAUGAACUUACAGGUUAUGCUGAGUUUCUUCAGAAAUGACACAACCAAUAUUAACAGUUCAAAGUUAUCUCGGUCGAGCGCUUUCACCAACAUAUGGACAAUAUUCUUGUUCCUCAUCUUCAAUUCAGUUCGUGUGUCCUCAGCAAGAUUUAG
This is a long non-coding RNA of Crotalus tigris (Tiger rattlesnake), 942 nucleotides long. RefSeq lists it as uncharacterized. The record is from RefSeq and is a predicted model, not a curated record. Lineage: Eukaryota; Metazoa; Chordata; Lepidosauria; Squamata; Viperidae. The transcript is spliced from 3 exons.